This 465-nucleotide ribosomal RNA is filed under the name uncultured bacterium. RNAcentral describes it as "partial 16S ribosomal RNA". It matches the Rfam family "Bacterial small subunit ribosomal RNA", at positions 338 to 795 of the family's 1533-position model. The record is from RNAcentral.
CCUACGGGAGGCAGCAGUGGGGAAUAUUGCGCAAUGGGCGAAAGCCUGACGCAGCGACGCCGCGUGAGUGAUGAAGGUCUUCGGAUCGUAAACCUCUGUCAGCAGGGAAGAACGGGCACUGUGCUAAUCAGCAGUGAAUUGACGGUACCUGCAAAGGAAGCACCGGCUAACUCCGUGCCCGCAGCCGCGGUAAUUAGGAGGGUACGAGCGUUAAUCGGAAUUCCUGGGCGUAAAGCGCUCGUAGGCGGUAUGUUAAGUCAAGGGUGAAAUCCCCGCGCUUAACGUGGGAACUGCCUUUGAAACUGGCAAACUGGAGUGUGUGAGAGGAUAGUGGAAUUCCAGGUGUAGGAGUGAAAUCCGUAGAUAUCUGGAGGAACAUCAGUGGCGAAGGCGACUAUCUGGCACAUAACUGACGCUGAGGAGCGAAAGCGUGGGUAGCAAACAGGAUUAGAUACCCGAGUAGUC